CCGUCAUAGGUGACCCCAAGCAAUUCGCUUGUUUUUUGGCUAUACGAUGAAUUUAUGGGAUAUGUUAUGCAAUGACUCCAUGUGGUGGUAGUAGCGUUAGAGUCUCUAUGCGACUCCGUUGCGAGAGUCUCGAAUCAAGACCCCAUUUGCUCCGGAGUGUACAUGCAAAGAGAGAGAAAAAUAGAAUUAGAGAAAAGAAAUAUUAUCCUAUUCAUAAAAUAUGUGAAGAGACGCAACUACGAGAAUCAAUACCAAAUCAGAAACAAGUCUAUAUUCUUUAUUAUCCAUAGGCAUUCAGGAUGGUCCAUUCUAUGUCAUUUGAAACUUCAAGAAUCAUCUUUCUAAUCACUCAGUCUCAUACUAACAAAUUGCAAGAGCAUGUAACUAUGCCUAACAACAAAUAUUUUUAUAAAAUAAUAAUUAGUAAAAUCUGGAUUUACUCUAAUCAAUUAUUUGAAAGCCAAAUAAGUAUUCUACAGAAAUGAUUUCUAAAGGCAUCCCUUUUCAAUUAAAUAAAAAUCUAUUAAGCAUGUAGGCAUAGUUUCUAUAUGACCUUAAUUAUUGUAGAUGAUUUUAAAGGAAAAACAAAAAUCACAUCCUCAGCACAUAAAAAUCUCAAAAGAAACAACAACGAGACUUCACUUUGAAUAUCCAAACAAGUUUCUUACUUCAUGUAAGCAAAUCAUGAAUCUUCUUUAGAUGAAUAAAGACAUAAUCAUCACACACCAGUUCAAAGAUGGACAACUAAUAUUUUAACCCUCUUUAGCAGAAAAAAAAAUUUCAUUUUACAUAACAAUUAAGUAAGUAAGCAGUAAAAUAACAUUAUGUAUCACAUUUGCCAAGUCAUUCAGAUUAAAUAGAUUUUUAAGCUGUAACAAACAAAACUUCGAAUCCGAAAAAAAAUAAUAAAGAGAAGAAGAGGAAAAAUCUUUAAAGUCACUGACCUGUUGCGGGGCAUGAACUGAGGUGUCAGCUUUGGAUCUACUGAACUUCGACCUCGAACUUGCUAACUCAAAUGAUUUUUAAACGAUGCAAUCGUCAACAAAAUGCAGCACCUCUAUUGUAUUUAAAACCAACAGAAUCAAGAGGCAAGAGAAAAGAGAAGAUUUUUGGCAAGGCAAAAUUAUGAGAACAAAUGAGAGCAGUAGCUUUUAUGAGUCAUCGAGCUGCGG
RNAcentral lists this long non-coding RNA (1172 nucleotides) under Nicotiana tabacum (common tobacco). RNAcentral's name for it is "long non-coding RNA (NTAB_LNC001255)". The record is from RNAcentral. Lineage: Eukaryota; Viridiplantae; Streptophyta; Magnoliopsida; Solanales; Solanaceae.